GGCCCUAUGGGUUGUAAAGCUCUGUCAGAUUGGGAAGAAAAUCCUACGGUUAAUACCCGUGGGACUUGACGGUACCAUCAGAGGAAGCACCGGCUAACUCCGUGCCAGCAGCCGCGGUAAUACGGAGGGUGCAAGCGUUGUUCGGAUUCACUGGGUAUAAAGGGUGCGCAGGCGGCCCGAUAAGUCAGGGGUGAAAUAUGACGGCUCAACCGUCAAACUGCCCCUGAAACUGUCAGGCUUGAGUUCGAGAGAGGUAGGUGGAAUUCCAGGUGUAGCGGUGAAAUGCGUAAAUAUCUGGAGGAACACCGGUGGCGAAGGCGGCCUACUGGCUCGAUACUGACGCUCAGGCACGAAAGCAUGGGGAGCGAACGGGAUUAGAUACCCCGGUAGUCCAUGCCGUAAACGAUGGGUACUAGGUGUUGGAGGAUUCUACCCCUUCAGUGCCGCAGCUAACGCAUUAAGUACCCCACCUGGGGAGUACGAUCGCAAGGUUGAAACUCAAAGGAAUUGACGGGGGCCCGCACGAGCGGUGGAGCAUGUGGUUUAAUUCGAUGCAACGCGAAGAACCUUACCUGGGCUUGACAUGCAGGGGACAGAUGUAGAAAUACAUCCUUCUUCGGACUCCUGUACAGGUGCUGCAUGGCUGUCGUCAGCUCGUGUCGUGAAAUGUUGGGUUAAGUCCCGCAACGAGCGCAACCCU
Molecule: ribosomal RNA, 700 nt
Filed under: uncultured bacterium
Lineage: Bacteria
Description: bacterial SSU rRNA
Rfam family: Bacterial small subunit ribosomal RNA
Source: RNAcentral